UCGAGCGAAGCGCAUAAGUUUGAUUCUUCGGAUGAAGAUUUUUGUGACUGACCGGCGGACGGGUGAGUAACGCGUGGGUAACCUGCCUUACACAGGGGGAUAACAGUUAGAAAUGACUGCUAAUACCGCAUAAGACCCCGGUACCGCAUGGUACAGAGGUAAAAACUGAGGUGGUGUAAGAUGGACCCGCGUCUGAUUAGGUAGUUGGUGAGGUAACGGCUCACCAAGCCGACGAUCAGUAGCCGGCCUGAGAGGGUGGACGGCCACAUUGGGACUGAGACACGGCCCAGACUCCUACGGGAGGCAGCAGUGGGGAAUAUUGCACAAUGGGGGAAACCCUGAUGCAGCGACGCCGCGUGAGCGAUGAAGUAUUUCGGUAUGUAAAGCUCUAUCAGCAGGGAAGAAAAUGACGGUACCUGACUAAGAAGCCCCGGCUAACUACGUGCCAGCAGCCGCGGUAAUACGUAGGGGGCAAGCGUUAUCCGGAUUUACUGGGUGUAAAGGGAGCGUAGACGGUGAUGCAAGUCAGAAGUGAAAGCCCGGGGCUCAACUCCGGGACUGCUUUUGAAACUGUG
This 575-nucleotide ribosomal RNA is filed under the name uncultured bacterium. RNAcentral describes it as "bacterial SSU rRNA". It matches the Rfam family "Bacterial small subunit ribosomal RNA", at positions 62 to 637 of the family's 1533-position model. The record is from RNAcentral.